AGGGCUGUAGCUCAGUGGCAAAGCGCUCAUCUAGCACAUGUGAGGCCCUGGGUUCAAUCCUCAGCACCACAU
Molecule: transfer RNA, 72 nt
Filed under: Ictidomys tridecemlineatus (thirteen-lined ground squirrel)
Lineage: Eukaryota; Metazoa; Chordata; Mammalia; Rodentia; Sciuridae
Description: Spermophilus tridecemlineatus (thirteen-lined ground squirrel) tRNA
Rfam family: tRNA
About the family: Transfer RNA (tRNA) molecules are approximately 80 nucleotides in length. Their secondary structure includes four short double-helical elements and three loops (D, anti-codon, and T loops).
Source: Rfam by way of RNAcentral